GUGAGAAAAAUGGCAGCACACUGACUAAAACUGAAACAAUACAGACAUUAGCAUGGUCCUGCCACAAGGAUGACAAGCAUGGAAUUAUGAAAAUACACAUUAUG
RNAcentral lists this small nuclear RNA (104 nucleotides) under Procavia capensis (Cape rock hyrax). Lineage: Eukaryota; Metazoa; Chordata; Mammalia; Hyracoidea; Procaviidae. The record is from RNAcentral.